Molecule: non-coding RNA, 2553 nt
Organism: Nelumbo nucifera (sacred lotus)
Lineage: Eukaryota; Viridiplantae; Streptophyta; Magnoliopsida; Proteales; Nelumbonaceae
Source: RefSeq, a predicted model, not a curated record
GAUGAUGCACGAUCUGGAAGCUCCUAGUUAGAAGAUGACAUGGACCUUAGUCAUGUAGCGAGUUGGAUUAAGCUGCAAGACAGAGGAUUAGAGCACCCAGGGCGGUUAACUUGGCGAGGUUGCUUCAAUGCUUAAGUCAGUACAGUGUCAUGAUUGCGAGUUAGAAUCUGAGUGCUAGAGAGCUUGGAUGCAAGUAAUCGCACGUACCUGGACCAUGGAGGAGUUGAUGCCUUUAUAUAAUUGAGUUAUUACAGGUUUCCCGGAACAGUUCCGAGAUCUGCAGCCUGAAUGGACGAGAUCCGUUUCCGCUUUAGUUGGGGAGUAAGUAUCAGUCAAUGAACCUCAUUAUCACCACUCGAUUUGGACAGGGAGAAUAUAAGGCUUGCCGUUAUGCGGAAUGAUCCCGCAAUAUUUGAAGUCUGUUGGGAAGUUACUGGUAUUUAUUACGUGUCACUUCGGUUCUCAGGCCUCGAACUCGAUUGGUUGUCGAGGUAACCUUAUGCCGAGCUCCGCAUACCAUUGAUUAGGCUUCCCUUGAUGAGUUGUCAUCCUGCAUGCAGAUCACGUCCACAUGAUUUUUAUUUAUUAGGUCGUGCCAAAUUACUCCUCAUCAAUUGCCCCCACUCCUCGUAGCAGGGGUCCUAACCCAGCGUAGGGAGUUCACGACGAGCUUAGGUGGAUUUGGCAUGGAAUCUAGGUGAUGUGGAGGGUGAGUCCACAUUCCUUUGUUUUUUCCUUUUGAUUACGUUGUCCUUUUCUUUAAUAUGUCUAGCCUUAGCUUAGAUAGCCUUUUAGACGGGAGCGGCGAAUCCAUUAGGGCUGAGGUGGGCACCUCAACUCAGACCGUGGAUCCUAGUCCUACCAAGGUGGUCACUUCAGGAUAGGAUGUGGUCCUCAAUCCGCCCGAGGUGGACUCACCUUGGCGGGAGCGAGAAGCUUCUGGUAAAUUGUCUUCCACCUCCCACCGAGGUUGGCUGCCAGAUAACUUCGGCCCAUCAAUAAUAACGGCGGAUAGGCUUCUAGCCUUAGUAGCCCGGUACAGACUCCCUAUCGGCCUUGUGUAUAGCAUCCCCUUAGGCAACUUUCCUUAGGAUCAUGAUCACAAUGAGAUCGUGGUCUUCGAGGAGCAGCUCGUAGUCGGUCUACGUCUCCCACUUCACCCUCUUAUAAUCGAGAUUGUUAAAUUCUUUAACAUUACCAUAGACCAACUACACCCGAACUCUAUCCGUAAUAUUGUAGGGACCAUUUCUCUUUUCCAUGACUACAACCAUCACCUUGACCUCGACGCCUUCUCUUCGAUCAUUUUCAUUAAGAAAAACAUGUCAUGUGUUCUGCCCGAAGACAGGCGAACUUACUACUCUCCUUGUCCCGGGUACAAACUAUUGCAUGAGCUCCCUAAUAAGGUUCCGGCCUAGAAGAGGCGUUACUUUAUGGUUCGCAACACCGAUGGGUGACCCUUCCCGACUCACUGGAUGGCAGCCAUCCAAGACCCCGACGUUAGACUGGACCUGAAGACAGGGAGGAGGUCCGAUCUUGGGCAGAGCUCGGCUUGAAGUUCGAAAACAUCGUGACCAAGGAGACGCUCGUGCAAGUCGGCCUAAAUCCUCCUGCUGCCAUGGACGACAUCCCUGUCGAUGAGCUCUUCGGAAGCAUGAAAAAGGGGAAGAAGAAGAAGAGAGCCUCCAAAAAGGCUCGCGUCGAGACUAAAGUAGCCACAAUUGAGGUUGUCGUUCCUAAGCCCGAGCACCCACCUAUCGUCGAGCAGCCUCUCGUAAUCGAUCUGGUCGAGGAGGACUCGGGCAAGGCCACCCCACCCCGCAUACCCGAGGAGGCUACGUCUUCAGAGCCUUUUCCAGCGGCCGCCACUUCUUCGAGCAGCGAUGCUCCAGUUCGGAGCAUUUUAACUCUGAAGUUCGGCCUUCUCAAGAGCAAGGACGCGGUGUUUACUGAGGAGAUCGCUCGUUGGGCCGACUUGCCAGUUGCUCAGCUCGGGGCCCGAGCAGCCACACACUGUAUGGUGGUGAACUCCUCCAUCCAUGCCUUGGCUUACCAGUCCGAGGUGAACCUAAAGUGAGCUCUCGAAGCCAAGGAGUCUUCCUGAAAUGCCUACGUCGAACUAAACUUAGCUCGCAACGAAAUCAACCAACUGAAGAACGACGCACGAGCUAAGAAGGAGCUGCUAACUCUGCUGAUGUCAGAGAAGAAUGAGCUCGAAGAGCGUAAAACAGCAUUGAAGAGGGAGAUCGAGAACCUCGAGGCCCACGUGAAGGAAUGAACCGAACUCCUGCUUCAGGCGAUAGAGGAGGCCAAGGUUAAGGCGGUUGAAGAGUACAAGUCAUCAGUGGAGCUUUGGGAAAGGUUGGUCGAGGCAGGGACAGCAGGCUACUACAAGGGGUUCAAACUCAACAGGUGGUUGACCCGGCGUGAAUUUCCCUACCUCGAUCUCAGUGCUAUCACCACGUCGAAGAUCACCAAAGAGAUGGCCAUUGAAGCUGCCAAGGAUCGGACUCUAGUGAUGACGACCUGCUUAUGUUAGACAGUUGUAUGCCCUUA